UAUUCUUGUUAUGCAGGAUGCUCCAAUAUUUUCUUUGGAUGAUAAUUCUUUUCCAGGUUCAUUUGAUAGCCAAAAGAACAACUCUGCGAAUCUUCCUGAUCUUUUGAGUGUCAAUCAACUUAUGGAAUCAGUAUGUUAGCCACUACAUUUUUUUAUAUAUAGCUUUUAUUGACUUAAAAGAAAUGUAGCCUUUUGUUGGUUUGUUAAUGAAGCAAAAUUCAGAGAGAGGAAGGUACAUCAUGACAAUAUUUUGAAAGCAUGCUUUAUGCACUCAGGUCCUGGAGACAGCACAUCAAGUUGGAAGGUUGUCAAUCUCAAAUGCACCUGAUGUGCCUUACAAGGAGAUGGCUGGCCACUGUGAGGCACUCCUGAUAGGAAAGCAGCAGAAGAUGUCCAGUUUGAUGAAUUUCCAACAGAACCAGGAAUAUUUGAUGAACCUAUCUUUACAAAAUCGUAACAAUGAUGUGAAAUGGAUGAUGUCCGAUUUCCAAGCUGAUGCCUGUUCCCAUAAGGUACUUCCUGGCUUUAACUUAAACCAUGGAUACUUGUGCUAUAUCAAUGUAUAUAUCUACGCAUACCAUGCACGUGCUCUGGCUGGAAUUUUGAUGUAGUUGAGUUGUAAAGAUACAUACUAUCCAGA
This 640-nucleotide long non-coding RNA is filed under the name Prunus dulcis (almond). RNAcentral's name for it is "sRNA ncRNA". Lineage: Eukaryota; Viridiplantae; Streptophyta; Magnoliopsida; Rosales; Rosaceae. The record is from RNAcentral.